Molecule: ribosomal RNA, 266 nt
Rfam family: Bacterial small subunit ribosomal RNA
AUUACUCGUAUAGCCUCCUACGGGAUGCAGCAGUGGGGAAUCUUGGGCAAUGGGCGGAAGCCUGACCCAGCGACGCCGCGUGGGGGAGGAAGGCCUUCGGGUUGUAAACCCCGUUAGUGUGGGAAGAAGGGAUGACGGUACCACACGAAAGCCCCGGCUAACUACGUGCCAGCAGCCGCGGUAAGACGUAGGGGGCGAGCGUUGUCCGGAAUUACUGGGCGUAAAGGGCGCGUACGCGGUCAAUCAAGUCAGGUGUGAAAGACCCG